RNAcentral lists this ribosomal RNA (479 nucleotides) under uncultured bacterium. RNAcentral's name for it is "SSU rRNA". It matches the Rfam family "Bacterial small subunit ribosomal RNA", at positions 26 to 518 of the family's 1533-position model. The record is from RNAcentral.
AGGACGAACGCUGGCGGCGUGCUUAACACAUGCAAGUCGGACGCGCCUGCCUUUUGGGGUGGGUGAGUGGCGAACGGGUGAGUAACACGUGGGCAACUUGCCCUGCGCUUCGGGAUAAGCCUGGGAAGCUGGGUCUAAUACCGGGUAGGACUUGUCUUCGCAUGGGGGCGGGUGGAAAGCCUCGUUUUGGCGGGGUGCGCAGGAUGGGCUCGCGGCCUAUCAGCUUGUCGGUGGGGUGAUGGCUCACCGAGGCUUUGACGGGUAGCCGGUCUGAGAGGGCGGUCGGCCACACUGGGACUGAGACACGGCCCAGACUCCUACGGGAGGCAGCAGUGGGGAAUCUUGGACAAUGGGGGAAACCCUGAUCCAGCCAUGCCGCGUGAGUGAUGAAGGCCUUAGGGUUGUAAAACUCUUUCGGCGGGGACGAUAAUGACGGUACCCGCAGAAGAAGCUCCGGCUAACUUCGUGCCAGCAGCCGC